UACGUAGGGGGCAAGCGUUGUCCGGAUUUAUUGGGCGUAAAGAGCGUGUAGGCGGUUAGGUAGGUCCGUUGUGAAAACUCGAGGCUCAACCUCGAGACGCCGGUGGAAACCCCCUAACUAGAGUCCGGAAGAGGAGAGUGGAAUUCCUGGUGUAGCGGUGAAAUGCGCAGAUAUCAGGAAGAACACCCGUGGCUAAGGCGGCUCUCUAGUACGGUACUGACGCUGAGACGCGAAAGCGUGGGGAGCGAACAGG
RNAcentral lists this ribosomal RNA (253 nucleotides) under uncultured bacterium. RNAcentral's name for it is "partial 16S ribosomal RNA". It matches the Rfam family "Bacterial small subunit ribosomal RNA", at positions 524 to 776 of the family's 1533-position model. The record is from RNAcentral.